GUAGGUCACAAGCGUUGUCCGGAAUNACUGGGUGUAAAGGGAGCGCAGGCGGGAAGNCAAGUUGGAAGUGAAAACUAUGGGCUCAACCCAUAAAUNGCUUUCAAAACUGCUGGCCUUGAGUAGUGCAGAGGUAGGUGGAAUUCCCGGUGUAGCGGUGGAAUGCGUAGAUAUCGGGAGGAACACCAGUGGCGAAGGCGGCCUACUGGGCACCAACUGACGCUGAGGCUCGAAAGUGUGGGUAGCAAACAGGAUUAGAUACCCUGGUAGUCCACACCGUAAACGAUGAUUACUAGGUGUUGGAGGAUUGACCCCUUCAGUGCCGCAGUUAACACAAUAAGUAAUCCACCUGGGGAGU
RNAcentral lists this ribosomal RNA (355 nucleotides) under uncultured bacterium. RNAcentral describes it as "bacterial SSU rRNA". It matches the Rfam family "Bacterial small subunit ribosomal RNA", at positions 527 to 881 of the family's 1533-position model. The record is from RNAcentral.